Small nuclear RNA from Aotus nancymaae (Ma's night monkey), 104 nucleotides. The record is from Ensembl. NCBI's taxonomy places the organism in Eukaryota, Metazoa, Chordata, Mammalia, Primates, Aotidae.
GUGCUCACUUCAGCAGCACAUAGAUAAACUUGGAAAGAUACAGAGAAAAUACACGGCAGAUGUGCAAGGAUAACAUGCAACUUUGUGAAGUGUUCUAUAUUUUU